UACGUAGGUGGCAAACGUUAUCCGGAAUUACUGGGUGUAAAGCGUUCGUAGGUUUUUUAGUAGGUCUCUGAUUAAAUACGUAAGCAUAACUUACGUCAGGUUGGAGAAACCACUAGAAUAGAAGGGUAUCGAGGUAAGUGGAAUUUGCGGUGUAGCAGUGAAAUGCGUUGAUAUCGCAAGGAACACCAAUGGCGAAGGCAGCUUACUAGGUAUCACUUGACGCUGAGGAACGAAAGCGUGGGGAGCAAACGGG
Molecule: ribosomal RNA, 253 nt
Filed under: uncultured bacterium
Lineage: Bacteria
Description: partial 16S ribosomal RNA
Rfam family: Bacterial small subunit ribosomal RNA
Source: RNAcentral